ACUGGAUUGAUUCAAAUUUCUCGCCAAAAACUACAUUUUACAAGAUUACAUUUGAACACAUCAUAACAUUAGAAUCUACCUUCGCCCAACACUCAUUUUACUGAACAGAGCCUGAACGUAUCAUAAUGUAAAUCAAUGGCACCUCCCGUGUUGAAAUCGGCAGGACGAGAGCUAGUUAACAUUAGCUGUUACUAGCCAGUAAGCAGCACAGUCC
Sebastes umbrosus (honeycomb rockfish) is the source of this 214-nucleotide long non-coding RNA. RefSeq lists it as uncharacterized. The transcript is spliced from 3 exons. The record is from RefSeq and is a predicted model, not a curated record. NCBI's taxonomy places the organism in Eukaryota, Metazoa, Chordata, Actinopteri, Perciformes, Sebastidae.